AAUGAACGCUGGCGGCAUGCCUUACACAUGCAAGUCGAACGGCAGCAUGACCUAGCUUGCUAGGUUGAUGGCGAGUGGCGAACGGGUGAGUAAUGCAUCGGAACGUGCCUUUUAGUGGGGGAUAACGUAGCGAAAGUUACGCUAAUACCGCAUAUUCUCUGAGGAGGAAAGCAGGGGGCCUUCGGGCCUUGCGCUAGAAGAGCGGCCGAUGUCGGAUUAGCUAGUUGGUGAGGUAAAGGCUCACCAAGGCAACGAUCCGUAGCGGGUCUGAGAGGAUGAUCCGCCACACUGGGACUGAGACACGGCCCAGACUCCUACGGGAGGCAGCAGUGGGGAAUUUUGGACAAUGGGCGCAAGCCUGAUCCAGCCAUGCCGCGUGAGUGAAGAAGGCCUUCGGGUUGUAAAGCUCUUUCGGCUGGGAAGAAAUCGCACUCUCUAAUACGGGGUGUGGAUGACGGUACCAGCAUAAGAAGCACCGGCUAACUACGUG
RNAcentral lists this ribosomal RNA (490 nucleotides) under uncultured bacterium. RNAcentral's name for it is "partial 16S ribosomal RNA". It matches the Rfam family "Bacterial small subunit ribosomal RNA", at positions 29 to 507 of the family's 1533-position model. The record is from RNAcentral.